Molecule: long non-coding RNA, 754 nt
Organism: Lagopus leucura (white-tailed ptarmigan)
Lineage: Eukaryota; Metazoa; Chordata; Aves; Galliformes; Phasianidae
Exons: 5
Source: RefSeq, a predicted model, not a curated record
GGAUGUAUUGAUGGAGUACAGUUCUACUGAAAAGGACUUGGGAGUACUGGUGGAUGGCAAGCUGGAUGUGCUUGUUCCACCAUAUUCCACAUGCACGCAAUUUCAAAUGCAAAUGAUUAUGUUCUGCAAUUAAAAUGCAACAAGUUUUCAAUGUCAGCAGAAGGACUGCUAAGGAGAACUGCAUGGCGUAUAUGGCAACAUACAAAAUAAAGAGAGGAAAAGAGGUUUUUUGGAAGAUAUUCUGAAGAUGAUAAUGGUUGAAAGCAAUGAGGAUGAUGGAUUUCACAGAUUAGAACUCUCCAAGCACUGCUCCAGCACAGCUCUGUACCACGGGGACAACCCUUCAGGGUGGUGCUGCUCAAGUAGCCAUAGGCAUCAGCUAACCGAGACCAUGGAGAUAGAGUAUUCCACCAUGGGACUCUCCUGGACUGCAGGGAGCUUCUGCUCUGUGUCUGGAGCACCUCCUGCCCUCCUUUUGCAGUGACCUUGCUGGUUGCAGGGCUAUUUCACAUUUCUCGCUCUUGAGCUGCUGUUGUGCAGCAUUUUUUUUCCUCUUUAUUAAACCUGCUCUCCAAAACUUGCAACCAGUGUUUCUCAUGGUUCAGCUAAGCCAGGUUCCUGCUGGAGCAGCUAGAUCUAGGUCUGCUCACAAAGGUCGACUCUGCAGCCUUGCUAUGUAAGCCCAAUGCAAUUGUUCAUCUUGUUCAGCAUCAGAAUGAGGAUAUUAGAAAUGAACUAGCUUCUCAAUUUUAUA